GAGUUUGAUCCUGGCUCAGAACGAACGCUGGCGGCGUGCUUAACACAUGCAAGUCGAACGUGGUUGAGAGCUUGCUCUCAUGAAAGUGGCGCACGGGUGAGUAACACGUGGAUAAUCUGCCUGGCGAUUCGGGAUAACACUUCGAAAGGGGUGCUAAUACCGGAUAAGCCCACGGACUCUUAGGGGUUUGCGGGAAAAGGGGGCCUCUGUAUAUGCUCCUGUCGCUAGAUGAGUCCGCGGCUCAUUAGCUAGUUGGUAGGGUAAUGGCCUACCAAGGCGACGAUGGGUAGCUGGUCUGAGAGGAUGAUCAGCCACACUGGAACUGAGACACGGUCCAGACUCCUACGGGAGGCAGCAGUGGGGAAUUUUGCGCAAUGGGCAAAGCCUGACGCAGCAACGCCGCGUGAGUGAUGAAGGCCUUCGGGUCGUAAAGCUCUGUCAGUGGGGAAGAACCGCCGGGUGGUUAAUACCUGCCUGGUCUGACGGUACCCACAAAGGAAGCACCGGCUAACUCCGUGCCAGCAGCCGCGGUAAUWCAAGGRCGCAUUGGAAACACCUAUUCCAUGAUUCCGGAUYCWCWGSCCGUCGCGUACAGCCAAUGAAACAGCUUAAWCAUGSG
This 619-nucleotide ribosomal RNA is filed under the name uncultured Geobacteraceae bacterium. Its description in RNAcentral is "bacterial SSU rRNA". The stretch from base 1 to 548 matches the Rfam family "Bacterial small subunit ribosomal RNA", at positions 9 to 546 of the family's 1533-position model. The record is from RNAcentral. Lineage: Bacteria; Pseudomonadati; Thermodesulfobacteriota; Desulfuromonadia; Geobacterales; Geobacteraceae.